GGGGCACCAUCUUAGUUAAGGGCAGGACUGUGGGCCCUUCAGGACUUUUUCCGAGGAAGGGCGGAAACAGGUAAUUGCGUUUCCACAUUUUCCGGAAGCCUCUCUGCGAAGCAUAGAAGGGUUUCCCAUGGUGCCGCCCCCGGUCCGGUUCCCGGUGGCGGAUGUGCCCGGGGAGGCCAGGACCGGGCGGACGAGGGAAGGCAGCCCAGGGGCCGUGAGGUUCGUCGCAUGUGGCCGUGUACUUCUCCCCGGAGGAGUGGGGGCGUCUGCGGCCUGCGCAGAGGGCCCUGAACCGGGACGUGACGCAGGAGACCUAUGGCUUCCUGGGCGCGCUCGGUGGAAAGAGAGGUGGAGGCGUGGAGCCCAGAGGCCCAGGAUCCAGAUCCCUGCAGCUGUCAGCAGAGACGAGGAAAAGGUCCUUCACUUCAAACCCCAGGUCGUGACCUUUGAGAACCUCCUCCCUCACUCGGAGCCUCAGCACACACUGCCCACUCUAGAGCCCCUCCGUGUCUCCCUGCACCUGAUCUGCAGAAAGGGCUCAACAGAACAGCUAAAUUGAAACUGGUAGCACUCUUGGGGCCGCGUUGCCACCAUCUCUUAGUAAGGCACGUUCCAGUUCUGGUUCUGGUGCACCUUCAGCCACCCGCGACUAGUGUUCAGUUCUCGGGCUGAGGCUCCUGGUCCCUCUUCCAAGUCCCACUUGAGGUUACUUCACUGAAAACCAUUCACCUAACUGGCUUUUCUUUCUGGAUUAUGUUCUCCCUUAGUGCAUUCUGCUUUCUGGACUGUAUCUCUCCCGCUCCUCAGAGACGGAGUACCCUAGAUUCAAGAGCCUAUUAAAGGAGCUGGUGCUCCCUGGAAUAGAGGGCACGCUUUGGGCCUGUCCGCACUGGGGAAGCUCAUCCAAGGAUUCUGUCUUUUAGCCAGAGCAGGUCAAGUAGCUAGCAAAGACACACAUGUGGUGUCAAGCCUCUGUUGGCAUUGUUUGGUCUUGAAGACUUAGAGGUGCCCGUAAAGAGGACAGUGGCUUCAGGUGAGGAACUCUCCUGCUCCACACUUGCUCUGCACAUGGUGCACAAAGGUAUCAAACUUAGUGAGCUUAAAGGGUUUUUUCUCCAAACUUUUAUGAACUAGUAAUUGCAAUGUGUUUUUUUUUCCCAGAUAUUUGCAUGUUUCCUGGAUUUUGCAUCUUUUGAAUAAAGAUGUAUUCUUGGGCCACAGCAGCUGGAAAUAUGAUGCUGGGGAAUUUUUUUUUUUUAAAGAAGGAGUAUAUUACUUGUGAUUAGAGUUGAAAUCAAGGCAUAGUUAUCUUCCGUCUUAAUUUUUACUGUAAUGUUUGUAUGUGUCAACAGUUGAGAGGUCUUUCUGACCUAUUUAGAUUUGCUAGCCCUACUUUAGAACAGGAAACUCUUGAAGGAAUAAAAGCAAGGAGGUGGGGGGGACUAAGCAUGUCUGCAUGUCAGGAGUGGUGCUGGGUGGCUCAGCUUAUCUUUUGACCAAAAGACUGCUUCUCCAAAUACCUGGGUUCCAAAGAUGAUUAUUAAUGGGAACUGACGGUUAUUUUUACUUCACCACAUAGCCUCUCCUGAAUUGGUAGACCUGGAUUCCAGGUUCAGCUCAGUUCCCACUAGCUGUGUGGCCUUAAGCAUAUUAUAUUAUUACAUUAUUCAGAUGUAAACUGACGAGUAAAAUUUAAGAACUAUAAUGACCUCCUGCAUGUUUCCUAACUUCUCAUAAUUAUCUGAUCAAGAUUCUUCAACAAACAUUUACAGUUUGGUGGGCAAUAAAACAAUCUGAAAGCAUCGUUUUUGUAUUUUUAUAAUGAUUGGCAGGAAAAACAUGACACCAACCACUUAUGAGCAAACAGUUUUAGUCUUGAACGUUGCAAUCUGAUGGUUAACAGCCAAGUUUACUGUACUUAGCUCCAUCUUCUUAAGUUUUCUCCAUCCCUAGUGCAAAUAGAAAUGAUUUACAACAUAGUACCUGAAUAAACAGAAGUAUUUUUUGGCCCAAGUGAAAUGCUUUACAGCUUCUCUUUACAUAAAGUUGAUUCCCUGUUUUGUUUUGUUUUUAAAUAAAUUUAUUUAUUUAUUUUUG
Molecule: long non-coding RNA, 2097 nt
Organism: Balaenoptera musculus (blue whale)
Lineage: Eukaryota; Metazoa; Chordata; Mammalia; Artiodactyla; Balaenopteridae
Source: Ensembl